Physcomitrium patens is the source of this 5588-nucleotide non-coding RNA. NCBI's taxonomy places the organism in Eukaryota, Viridiplantae, Streptophyta, Bryopsida, Funariales, Funariaceae. The record is from RefSeq and is a predicted model, not a curated record.
CCCCAUGUCACAUCACGUCUGCCACUGUCGACUAUUUGUGUUAAUCGUGAGUUGUGGAUAGUGAUUCAUUUGGUCUGUGUUUCCCAGUUUAUGUUCAUGAGUAUUUUUAACAAUGUGUUCCAGGGAACUCUUUUUUAAGAUUUCGCUAUAAGCCUGAGAUUUAGUAUCCGUUUUUUUUCUCUUUUUUUUUUCCCGAAUUAUUUUUACUUGAGUGUAUGAUUUUAUGGAACUGCAUGUGGAAUUGGUUUCGAAAUCUCCGCUGCAAUCUCCUAUGUGAAAGUUUAAGAACAUUUUACUUUACACUAGAAUAUCUAUUUACUUCUUGUGAGCCUUCUACACGAAUAAGUGCCCCACACUUAGAUGUGUGCACAGUUAUUUCAAAGAAGAAUUGAUAAAGUGCACUAAGUCUGAGAAUAAUAAUAAUAAUAAUAAUAACAAUAUCAACAACAACAGCAAUUGAAGGAGAAUUAGGUUUGUUGAAUUAAAGGUUUGAUUUACUCAAUAAGUAAUAGGAAUGCCGCAGAGCUUGCUUUUAGUUUCUUUCAGAAGCUGAAGAGUCCCAGGGGAAUGAUAAUGUACUGCUCAUGUGUUCAAGUAAUGGCAGAAGCUUAUCAUGCUUGUCCAGGUUUCUGUCCUAGAGCUAUGAAUAUUGGCCAGAGCUGGAUUACGAGUGCCAGAUGCCAUAAAUGUAAUUUCGAUUCUCAUCACUGAUUCCUCAAGUUCACGGCAUCACCCAUAUUGCUUCGACGAACAGUGUCCCUGUUGAAACAGGCUUCAAAAGGUUGCACCUCUAUUGAAUCGUUACAGUAACUGAAUAUGAUUCUUUUGGGAGAGGAGGAUUUGAAUCCCAUGGUGUUCUGGAAGGUGGGUGUGUGCUGCUAACUUUUAAGCAGUACCCUUUUGGUCUGCUGAUUUAGUGAGGUUGCAAACUUCAGAACAGUCAUUGGGAAGCAGUUUUCCGGAAGCAUGGUGGCUGCGUCCGGCGCGAGUUGUUCCGUUGCAUCACAGCACUGUCAGCAGCGGCAUCAAUCCAAAUCCGAAGGUCACCACGUCGAAUCGUGUUGCACCAGAGGCGGCUUCACACACGAUUGUUGUCUUUAAUUUGCGCACCCACAGAAGGUCGGCUUUCAAGUUAUCAAUCUAGCAUGUUUGUGCAUGUGCUAAUGCAGAGUGCGCAAGCUUUCAUAUUGUUGCUGUGAGACUGAGGGGGCAACUGCCUCUUAGCCUGCGUCAAGUAUCGCCCUGAGUAAUUCAAGGGAGAAAUUGCUGAUACGACAGAAACCUCAAAGUACACAUACAUUGAUUGAUGAACGACGGAACAUCGGAGCCCCAAAAUAUUGUUCCGAGUAUUCUUCAGAGCUGCAGCAAACCACCUGUUGGGUUCCAGGUGUACCAAGCGUGCGACACUUCUAUUCCUAAAAGACGACGUCAUGACCUAUCUUUAGAUGCGAAGGGGAUGUCAAGUAUUCUCAAAAUAUGACUCAAGAUGCUUUUUUUUAUAUUGGAGUUAAGUAGAAACUGUUGACGUUGCAAUUUGAGCAAUAGAGGAAUUCAACUGACUGAUGCUCAUUUGAUGUGAAGCAUUGAGUCCGCAUUUUGUAGGUUUUGAUGUUAUGGACCACGGAAGGAUUUUGACUGUAUACUGUGAUCAUAUGUAGUCCGUCCAAGAGAUUACUGUGACUGACCUAGAAAAGCCACUUCUAUUCUUUUUAGUGCCCCUUGCAAAGUGGUGUUCAGAAGCGGAUUGACGGGCCUGAAUUCAGUUUCCAGGAUUGAUUAGAAGGACAUAGGGGAUCAGUGGAUGGAUAUGGAAGUGGUGCACUUCACCACACCCACAAGUGGAUGGUGUUACGACGCCGCAUCACCGAAAGCUGGAGCACGUUGCGUACGAAAAAGAUCUCUCGGCACGUUGUGCCUAGCAUAGCGAUUCAAGCGCCACACACAAUCUAGAGCUGGAUGCGCUACGGACUCUUGCAAGACCAAAUUUGCUCAGCAGCUCAGAGUGAAGCGGCUCGAUUGAAGUGGCAGGGGCGCUGCGGUAGAACGAGAUACAUGGUAAGUCACCUUUGGCAACAGUACACCUAGUUUUUUCAACGUUCAUUUCACUGUUGCCUGCAACAACUGAAGUGUUUAAAUCUGAUCAUUAAAGAGGUUACUUGACAACGUAAAAAUCGUUUCUUCUCUGACAAUGUCCUUGUAUAGAGACGAUACCAUUCAGAAGCCGCAUUCCGACCAGAACUUACUCACGCUUGCAUCGGUGUCUUAUCUUGAAAUGUUUUUGUUUAAAAUGAAACCCAUCGGUGCAAGGGAAAUCUCAUAGAGCCGGUGACAGCGUUAUUUUAGCUACAUCCUUGUAAGCUCUGAAUUACAAAGCUUUGUCGCUGCUUUGUCGGUGGAAAAGAAAGGAUCUGGGGUUUGUCUUUGGCAUUAAUGUUAAUACAGAUUGGAGAGAGCAACAUCUAGCCAGCAGGUCUCUGCACCAUGGUGCCCUCGUGGUCAGAAGAGCGUGAAUCAUGUGUGUCAUGUUUUCGCUGCUAGGGCUCUGAAGCACACCCAGCUUCAGGUUGCUAUCGUUUCAUGAGCAUUCGUGUGCACUUGAUACGAGGAAAUCCUGCUUCCGGAUCUUUCAAGCCUUCUGUACUUCCCUCUAACUUACUUCACAGCGUUUACCGUUCAGGGUUAGAAACAGUCUGAAUGAAUUGGCAAUUGACUGUGAGUGCCUUAUCAAUCUCGGAGAUUUGUUCAGAAGCGCAAUUGGGACCCAGUUGUCUCUUAGAAUUGUAACCUCUCUGGUUUUACUCGCUGGAACUAACGUGGUAGCUCGACGUCUCUCCGUAGGUGGUUUUGUUUGAGGAAAAUCUUGUGAGUACCCAGUGUCAUCAUAUUUUCUGGCGGUCAUUUAGUUCCACUCUAAGCAUAAUUGCAGUACAUGGACGAGAAUAUGGAGCAACUGGGCCGGCUGGUGCAUGGACUCAACAGUUUGCAGGCUCGCACAUCUUCUGCCUAAGAUUUAUGGCAACCUGCAUCAACUAGCCGGUUAGCACACCUUUGCUGUAGUUCACUAACCCGGACAGAGGUAUUGAAUCAUGAUAACUUGAUUCAGAAAAACCCGAACCAUUUUGGACAGUCGAAGUGGGCAGACUCAAUGUGAUCUACACUGAAUGAAUUGGUUUGCUUAUUUUUUAUAAAAGUCCUCAGGUUUAUAUAUACACCAGCUCAGCGUUUUUUAACAUCGUUCAAGAAAAGCUGCAGGAUUACUGAGGUAUCUUCCUCAGCAAGAGUGCAAUUGUGCAGGACUUAACAUUUUUGACAGUGAAAUGAUGGGUUGGUGUGCGGCCUUGGGUGUUUGGUGCAUGAGAAUACCAGCCGUAAGUUAUGUAAUGACAGGCUAAUACUUGUAGCUAUUUCCAGACCCAAGACCAUGAGGAGACAUCCACAAUGUUUCGAAAGGUCACUGUCUCUGCUUAGAAGCUGAUGUAGAUGUUCAUGCUGUAAAACAAACAGUCUCAUGCACAUCUCCAGCUUGACAGUCUCAGAACUAGCCAGCAUGAACAGAGUCAGCGUGGAGCUCCAAUAUCAAGGAAGGCUACGGGUGAUACAUCGAAAACAGCAGCAUGGCCCCGCUUCACCUGACAUAGACCUUGAAGGUCCUGACUGGGAUAGUGGGAUGCACUGUGGGUAAGGUAGGUGCGGCUAGAUCUUGUCAGAAAUUGAUUCGCAGGAGUAUUUUUUGUGUAAUAAUGUUGCAGGAGUACUAAGACUCCGAAUAUAACUUACAAACGGAGGAGUUGCAAUGCUGAUCUUGGCAAAAUUAACAUGUAAGUGAUCCGUGAUACCAUCUCAAAUUUCGCGGUCCUUUUACUUUAUUCUCUUUCUCAUUGACUUUUUAUUUUGGUAGGAAUUGGUUGCUUUGAAUAUCAAUGUGUAACAACCCUAGUUAUUUUCUAGGUCUCAUGCAAUGGGACAAUUCAGAUAAGCUGCCACCAAAUUUACAAGGUCUUUGUUUGAGGACUUUUAAGAUCAGGAAAUGUCUUGGAAGGAUGUAAUUUUAAUCUCUUGAAUUUGCAAAGAUGAAAAUUGUACAUUUCAGAAAAACAAAGAGACAAUCGACAUGUUACAAACAGCUCCAGGACAUUCAAAGCAUCAACUUAUUACAAUUUACACCAAUGAUAUAUCUUGCCACUACUGGAAAAAGGCUUUCAGCCAUCCAGUGUACAGCAGGCGGCUUGACAUUUGGAAAUCAGUAGAUUUCAAAUUCUGGAAAAAAAAACGAAUGACAAACAAGUAAACAAGAGGUAUAUUAAGCCGUCAUGCUGGCGAUCAUGACACUUCUUGAGAAUUGGAAAAUUUGCAGCAGAUUUUACCGUCACUACAGAAUCUACGAUAGAGGUACUAUAAGCAACACCAUCUAGAAAUGCUACUUACAUCUAGUGCAGAAAAUUGUUGCCAGGUGGAGCACAAAUGUCCUAGUUAUUUGGUCGGAAGUUUUUGUUUGUCUGAAGUGGAAAAAGGCUUCAUGGUUGGGCUUGACAUGUUUUAUUCAGUGUACUGUAACUGCAGUGCAAUGUGCAGGAAGCACUUCAUGGCGUAGAGCUUAUAAGCAUUUCCUCGCUGACACUAGUCUACACCUGGAUCGAAUGGGACAUCCUGGUGAACUGAUGUAAGUAUUUGCGACUGGUAUGUUCUGAUGCGUAUUUGUUUCACUUUACAAGUUGGGGUUUCUUUCCCUCUGUAUGGGGAGAGAAAUAGAUUCAUAACUCAUUUUUGUUCUUUUCUACCAACUGGCCAAAGUUUCUGCCUGAAGAUGCUCUAUUCCAUUUGAGAGAAGUAUUUGCCGUACUGCUAAUUUCGCAGUGCAUCCUAAGAAUAUCUCGGACACCUGUUUUCUUAUCAGCAUUUUAGUUGUUUUUGUUUCAUGUUUAUUUUGGAGCAUAAUCUUAUCUGAUUUUUAAACUCUUCAAAAAGUAUUGAUUAGACUCUAUUGUUGCAAGCGGGAAUAAGUACGUGUGCUGGUUGGUGCUUGCAUGGAUUAACCAAUUUUAUGCUAUGAUUGCUGGGAAGAAGAGACUCGUCCAUGGAUGUCGUACAAGGUACUUUUGGUGGACCUCUUCCUUCCUAAACCCCCGCUUGUGAGGAGUUUCUGGACUGCUUCAAGCUUUUCAUAUUCAAGGCUAACCACAUUCCACAGUUGCUGGAACUCGGAGAGAUGAGACAACCUAUUCAUUCUUUCGAGAUUGCAUUCAAAACUUCGAUAUCGUGAAACUUGUGUAUAACUCCACCGAAAUAAGGAACGGACGAUCUCUUUCCCUUUGUGUAAAAAUUAGUACUUUGACUUUAGUAAGGCUGAAAGACUAGCAGGUUACACUACGUUUCAAGUCUAUGAGGAUAGAAUCUCAGUCUACCUAGUGUGUCUUAGAUAGGUUUUAUGCUUUUGAAGUUGCGUAGGAGGUGCUUCCCACGAGGAUGUCCAAGCUAAGAGCAUUCAUUCCAUGCUUUCUAAUGGUAAAACUGCAAAUUGGACCUCAUUUUGUAGUUUUCUACUUAAUCAAUACGCAACCUUUGGACUGAUGACGAAAUUCUAGAAGAAA